This 462-nucleotide ribosomal RNA is filed under the name uncultured bacterium. RNAcentral describes it as "partial 16S ribosomal RNA". It matches the Rfam family "Bacterial small subunit ribosomal RNA", at positions 28 to 507 of the family's 1533-position model. The record is from RNAcentral.
GACGAACGCUGGCGGCGUGCUUAACACAUGCAAGUCGAGCGGAAAGGCCCUUCGGGGUACUCGAGCGGCGAACGGGUGAGUAACACGUGAGUAACCUGCCCCAGACUUUGGGAUAACCCUCGGAAACGGGGGCUAAUACCGGAUACGCCCCAGCUUCGCAUGGGGUCUGUGUGGAAAGUUUUUCGGUUUGGGAUGGGCUCGCGGCCUAUCAGCUUGUUGGUGGGGUGAUGGCCUACCAAGGCGACGACGGGUAGCCGGCCUGAGAGGGCGACCGGCCACACUGGGACUGAGACACGGCCCAGACUCCUACGGGAGGCAGCAGUGGGGAAUAUUGCACAAUGGGCGGAAGCCUGAUGCAGCGACGCCGCGUGAGGGAUGACGGCCUUCGGGUUGUAAACCUCUUUCAGCAGGGACGAAGCGUAAGUGACGGUACCUGCAGAAGAAGCGCCGGCCAACUACGUG